This 1550-nucleotide ribosomal RNA is filed under the name Salmonella enterica. Its description in RNAcentral is "bacterial SSU rRNA". It matches the Rfam family "Bacterial small subunit ribosomal RNA". The record is from RNAcentral. Lineage: Bacteria; Pseudomonadati; Pseudomonadota; Gammaproteobacteria; Enterobacterales; Enterobacteriaceae.
AAAUUGAAGAGUUUGAUCAUGGCUCAGAUUGAACGCUGGCGGCAGGCCUAACACAUGCAAGUCGAACGGUAGCACAGAGAGCUUGCUCUCGGGUGACGAGUGGCGGACGGGUGAGUAAUGUCUGGGAAACUGCCUGAUGGAGGGGGAUAACUACUGGAAACGGUGGCUAAUACCGCAUAACGUCGCAAGACCAAAGAGGGGGACCUUCGGGCCUCUUGCCAUCAGAUGUGCCCAGAUGGGAUUAGCUUGUUGGUGAGGUAACGGCUCACCAAGGCGACGAUCCCUAGCUGGUCUGAGAGGAUGACCAGCCACACUGGAACUGAGACACGGUCCAGACUCCUACGGGAGGCAGCAGUGGGGAAUAUUGCACAAUGGGCGCAAGCCUGAUGCAGCCAUGCCGCGUGUAUGAAGAAGGCCUUCGGGUUGUAAAGUACUUUCAGCGGGGAGGAAGGUGUUGUGGUUAAUAACCGCAGCAAUUGACGUUACCCGCAGAAGAAGCACCGGCUAACUCCGUGCCAGCAGCCGCGGUAAUACGGAGGGUGCAAGCGUUAAUCGGAAUUACUGGGCGUAAAGCGCACGCAGGCGGUCUGUCAAGUCGGAUGUGAAAUCCCCGGGCUCAACCUGGGAACUGCAUUCGAAACUGGCAGGCUUGAGUCUUGUAGAGGGGGGUAGAAUUCCAGGUGUAGCGGUGAAAUGCGUAGAGAUCUGGAGGAAUACCGGUGGCGAAGGCGGCCCCCUGGACAAAGACUGACGCUCAGGUGCGAAAGCGUGGGGAGCAAACAGGAUUAGAUACCCUGGUAGUCCACGCCGUAAACGAUGUCUACUUGGAGGUUGUGCCCUUGAGGCGUGGCUUCCGGAGCUAACGCGUUAAGUAGACCGCCUGGGGAGUACGGCCGCAAGGUUAAAACUCAAAUGAAUUGACGGGGGCCCGCACAAGCGGUGGAGCAUGUGGUUUAAUUCGAUGCAACGCGAAGAACCUUACCUGGUCUUGACAUCCACGGAAGUUUUCAGAGAUGAGAAUGUGCCUUCGGGAACCGUGAGACAGGUGCUGCAUGGCUGUCGUCAGCUCGUGUUGUGAAAUGUUGGGUUAAGUCCCGCAACGAGCGCAACCCUUAUCCUUUGUUGCCAGCGAUUAGGUCGGGAACUCAAAGGAGACUGCCAGUGAUAAACUGGAGGAAGGUGGGGAUGACGUCAAGUCAUCAUGGCCCUUACGACCAGGGCUACACACGUGCUACAAUGGCGCAUACAAAGAGAAGCGACCUCGCGAGAGCAAGCGGACCUCAUAAAGUGCGUCGUAGUCCGGAUUGGAGUCUGCAACUCGACUCCAUGAAGUCGGAAUCGCUAGUAAUCGUGGAUCAGAAUGCCACGGUGAAUACGUUCCCGGGCCUUGUACACACCGCCCGUCACACCAUGGGAGUGGGUUGCAAAAGAAGUAGGUAGCUUAACCUUCGGGAGGGCGCUUACCACUUUGUGAUUCAUGACUGGGGUGAAGUCGUAACAAGGUAACCGUAGGGGAACCUGCGGUUGGAUCACCUCCUUACCUUAAAGAA